Non-coding RNA from Eumeta japonica, 82 nucleotides. Lineage: Eukaryota; Metazoa; Arthropoda; Insecta; Lepidoptera; Psychidae. The record is from the annotation of a GenBank genome assembly.
GGCAGCGAGGCCGAGCGGUCUAAGGUGCUGGUUUGAGACACCACUCUCCUCAAAGACGUGGGUUCGAUUUCCAGCGCUUCCA